GCUGCUUACUUUGGCACCACAUACUAAAAUUGAAACGAUACAGAGAAGAUUAGCAUGGCCCCUGCACACGGAUGACUCACAAAUUUGUAAAGUGUUCCAUAUUUUU
Molecule: small nuclear RNA, 106 nt
Filed under: Salvator merianae (Argentine black and white tegu)
Lineage: Eukaryota; Metazoa; Chordata; Lepidosauria; Squamata; Teiidae
Source: RNAcentral